RNAcentral lists this long non-coding RNA (240 nucleotides) under Carica papaya (papaya). Its description in RNAcentral is "long non-coding RNA (CPAP_LNC006865)". The record is from RNAcentral. Lineage: Eukaryota; Viridiplantae; Streptophyta; Magnoliopsida; Brassicales; Caricaceae.
AACGGAGGCCGGGAAGGGCUUCAUCGGAGGCAAAAACUGAGGAGGGGCGCGGUGGCGCCGCUGGGUUUCGGCCGUGUUUUCCAGCCGUUUGGCUGGGAUUUUGGCUCCGAUUUGGCCACAGGGGAACUCAACGUGGAAAAACGAGCCGGGGUAUGAAAUUUACCUCGAUCGACGGUCGGAAAACUCCCCGGUGCGGCGGCGGGUGGCGGCGGCCGGCUCCUCCGGCGUCUAGUUCGUCUU